AGUACAAUUGCGAGAUCACAUGUUUAGUUUUAUAAGAAACUGACAAACUGCCUUCCAAAUGGCUAUAACAUUUGGCAUUCCUGUUAGCAAU
RNAcentral lists this microRNA precursor (91 nucleotides) under Marmota monax (woodchuck). The record is from RNAcentral. Lineage: Eukaryota; Metazoa; Chordata; Mammalia; Rodentia; Sciuridae.